UGGGGAAUUUUGGACAAUGGGCGAAAGCCUGAUCCAGCAAUGCCGCGUGUGUGAAGAAGGCCUUCGGGUUGUAAAGCACUUUUGUCCGGAAAGAAAUCCUUGGCUCUAAUACAGUCGGGGGAUGACGGUACCGGAAGAAUAAGCACCGGCUAACUACGUGCCAGCAGCCGCGGUAAUACGUAGGGUGCAAGCGUUAAUCGGAAUUACUGGGCGUAAAGCGUGUGCAGGCGGUUUGCUAAGACCGAUGUGAAAUCCCCGGGCUCAACCUGGGAACUGCAUUGGUGACUGGCAGGCUAGAGUAUGGCAGAGGGGGUAGAAUUCCACGUGUAGCAGUGAAAUGCGUAGAGAUGUGGAGGAAUACCGAUGGCGAAGGCAGCCCCUGGGCCAAUACUGACGCUCAUGCACGAAAGCGUGGGGAGCAAACAGGAUUAGAUACCCUGGUAGUCCACGCCCUAAACGAUGUCAACUAGUUGUUGGGGAUUCAUUUCCUUAGUAACGUAGCUAACGCGUGAAGUUGACCGCCUGGGGAGUACGGUCGCAAGAUUAAAACUUAAA
RNAcentral lists this ribosomal RNA (555 nucleotides) under uncultured bacterium. RNAcentral describes it as "partial 16S ribosomal RNA". It matches the Rfam family "Bacterial small subunit ribosomal RNA", at positions 355 to 905 of the family's 1533-position model. The record is from RNAcentral.